Molecule: non-coding RNA, 641 nt
Organism: Paramuricea clavata
Lineage: Eukaryota; Metazoa; Cnidaria; Anthozoa; Malacalcyonacea; Plexauridae
Source: the annotation of a GenBank genome assembly
GUUGGUGUAGUGUACUCAGGUGAAUAUGAUAUUUGUGGUGUUACUCUGCGUGUAUAUCCACACCGGGCGAGCUUGAAAAAUAUGCCCGGCCACGGUGGGAUUCGAACCUACGACCUUUGGAAUACUGGCCCAAUGCUCUUCCAACUGAGCUACGCGGUCAGGACGGUUCGAGUAAGUGAUAUUUCGGAACAGUAUCUAGUUCCUUCAAUACCAAUGUAUUCUUGUAAUAUGAUUUUUUUCUGUGUUGGUGUUGUGUACUCAGGUGAAUAAUAUGUUUGUGAUGUUACUCUGAGUGCAUAUCCACACCGGGCGAGCUUGAAAAAUAUGCCCGGCCACGGUGGGAUUCGAACCUACGACCUUUGGAAUACUAGCCCAAUGCUCUUCCAACUGAGCUAGGCGGUCAGGACGGUUCGAGUAAGUGAUAUUUCGGAACAGAAUCUAGUUCCUUCGAUACCAAUGUUUUCUAGUAAUAUGAAUUUUUUUUUCUGUGUUGGUGUAGUGUACUCAGGUGAAUAUGAUAUUUGUGGUGUUACUCUGAGUGCAUAUCCACACCGGGCGAGCUUGAAAAAUAUGCCCGGCCACGGUGGGAUUCGAACCUACGACCUUUGGAAUACUAGCCCAAUGCUCUUCCAACUGAGCUA